UGAUAUUACCUUAUUAUUAGUGUCGUCCAAAACUGGUGCCAGAAGACUCGGUAAGGCCAGAGACACAAACGUUAAUCGUCUUAAUCAGGCGUAAAGGGUUUGUAGGCGGCUUUAAAAUUUACUUAUAUAAAUAAAAAGUAAAAAAUAAAAGCUAGAAUCAAAUAGAGGAUAUAUGAAAUAACGCUUAGAGUAGGUCUGAUAUCCUUAGAUACUAAGUAGAAUAUUAAAGGCGAAAGCUUUUUUCCAUUAAUGAUUGACGCUCAGAAACGAAGGUGAGGAUAGGAAAUAGGAUUUGAUACCCAGAAUACCCCUCUCUGUCAACGAUGAAUGGUAGUUAUUAGUAAAAAUUUAUUAAUGGCAAUGUUAACACGAUAACCAUUCCGCCUUGUGAGUACAACUGCAAAGUUGAAAACAAAAAAA
Molecule: ribosomal RNA, 420 nt
Filed under: Russula rubra
Lineage: Eukaryota; Fungi; Basidiomycota; Agaricomycetes; Russulales; Russulaceae
Description: partial 12S small subunit ribosomal RNA
Rfam family: Bacterial small subunit ribosomal RNA
Source: RNAcentral